CGUACACUCCUACGGGAGGCAGCAGUGGGGAAUAUUAGACAAUGGGCGCAAGCCUGAUCCAGCCAUGCCGCGUGAGUGAUGAAGGCCCUAGGGUUGUAAAGCUCUUUCACCGGUGAAGAUAAUGACGGUAACCGGAGAAGAAGCCCCGGCUAACUUCGUGCCAGCAGCCGCGGUAAUACGAAGGGGGCUCGCGUUGUUCGGAUUUACUGGGCGUAAAGCGCACGUAGGCGGACUAUUAAGUCAGGGGUGAAAUCCCGGGGCUCAACCCCGGAACUGCCUUUGAUACUGGUAGUCUUGAGUUCGAGAGAGGUGAGUGGAAUUCCGAGUGUAGAGGUGAAAUUCGUAGAUAUUCGGAGGAACACCAGUGGCGAAGGCGGCUCACUGGCUCGAUACUGACGCUGAGGUGCGAAAGCGUGGGGAGCAAACAGGAUUAGAAACCCUUGUAGUCCCAUGA
This 454-nucleotide ribosomal RNA is filed under the name uncultured organism. Its description in RNAcentral is "partial 16S ribosomal RNA". It matches the Rfam family "Bacterial small subunit ribosomal RNA", at positions 330 to 800 of the family's 1533-position model. The record is from RNAcentral.